GGGUACUGCUAUCAGACUUCGACUAAGCCAUGCAAGUCUGCUCAUUCACUUGGAUGGGCGGCAAAAGGCUGAGUAACACGUGGUCAAUCUGCCCUUAGGACGCGAAUAACCUCGGGAAACUGAGGCUAAUACGCGAUAGAUGAUCUAUGCUGGAAUGCUUGAUCGUCCAAAAGGCUGGUGAAUUGGAACCAGUCCGCCUUAGGAUGAGACUGCGGCGGAUCAUGGUAGUUGGUGGGGUUAUGGCCUACCAAGCCGAUAAUCCGUAGGGGCCAUGGGAGUGGUGGCCCCCAGAAGGGAACUGAGACAAGGUCCCUAGCCCUACGGGGUGCAGCAGGCGCGAAACCUCUACAAUGCGCGAAAGCGUGAUAGGGGGAGUCUGAGUGGUGACAGCUUAGCUGUUAUCUUUUGCCAAGCGUAAAUAACUUGGAGAAUAAGGGUGUGGGCAAACACAUCCUUACGGUGUGAACUGACAGUCGUAGGAAGUGGCCUAAGACUGGUGGCAGCCGCCGCGGUAACACCAGCGCCUCAAGUGGUAUCCGCGAAUAUUGGGCCUAGAGCGUCCGUAGCCGGAUUAAAAAGUCCAUUGUGAAAUGUUGAGGCUUAACCUUAACGCGUGCAGUGGAUACUUUUAGUCUAGGGAACGGGGGAGGAUCGGAGUACAUCCGGGGUAGGGGUAAAAUCCGUUGAGCCUGGGUGGACUACCAGUGGCGAAGGCGCCGAUCCAAAACGUGUCCGACGGUGAGGGACGAAAGCUAGGGUAGCGAACGGGAUUAGAUACCCCGGUAGUCCUAGCUGUAAAUUAUGCAGACUUUGGUGUUGCAUGUGAGUAAUCAUGUGCAGUGCUGUAGCGUAGGUAUUAAGUCUGCCGCCUGGGGAGUACGGUCGCAAGACUUAAACUUAAAGGAAUUGGCGGGGGAGCACCACAAGCCGUGGAUGCUACGGUUU
This 945-nucleotide ribosomal RNA is filed under the name uncultured euryarchaeote. RNAcentral's name for it is "bacterial SSU rRNA". It matches the Rfam family "Archaeal small subunit ribosomal RNA", at positions 21 to 903 of the family's 1478-position model. The record is from RNAcentral. Lineage: Archaea; Methanobacteriati; Methanobacteriota.